Molecule: long non-coding RNA, 2599 nt
Filed under: Gallus gallus (chicken)
Lineage: Eukaryota; Metazoa; Chordata; Aves; Galliformes; Phasianidae
Source: RNAcentral
GUUUGACAAGCUCUGUCCUGGAGGCCGUCCCUUUCUCUUUGGUCCCAUCUGCUCAUGGGGCAACCUGGACACAACUUUUUUGCCAUCUGAGAACAGCAGCUUGGCCUGCUCCAGGCAGCUCCGACACGUCUCCUGGAUGAGCUGCUCUGGGUCCACCUCCUCCCCAACGUUGUCACGCACGUUGAGUGCUGCCUUCUGGAAAAACUUCAUGUACUUAUUGAAGACGCCCCGGAUCUCCUCGUUGAUGCUGGGCUGCAGCACGGCUCGCAACAAGUCCAUGGACACGACCGGGUCAGUGAAGCUGGUGGUCAUCUGGGAGCGCCGGCCGCGCCGCUGCACCUGCCGAUGCUUGAUCAUGAUGUUCCAGGGGCUCGUGCCGCUCGGCUGCUCCUCGCCGCCGCCCGGGCCCUCCUCGCCCGGCGGCCCCGACUGCUGCUCCGCGUCACGGGCGGCGCCCAUCGCGCCGCGCUCCCGGCCCGCGGCGCCGCUUCCGGAAGCGCCGGGCUCACUACGUCAUCGGAACGCGACCCGCGGCGCUCGCCGGAAGUGGCAGCGGCUUCCGGGACGGGCUGCGGCCCUGAACGGCUUCCGGCGGGUGUGUCCGGCGGGGCGAUCCCUGCCCGCUUCCUGCCCUGCCUGGCCGGGCGGCACCGCCGCCGCUUCCUGCAGGUCUCCCCCUCACCGCGUGCUCCCCGCGGCCGAGCGCUGUGUGCCGCUCGGUCUCAGCUCGGCGGCGCUCUGACAUCUCAUUGUUUUCCCUUCUGGAAGUACCGAAACCGCGGUUCCUCACCCCGUGCUCCCACCCGAAGCGUGGCAGAGGCGCAGUGAUUUCCCCGCGCCUUACCGGGCCCCAGCAGCGAUGCACAGCAGUGGAGAUUCUUCUGUUGGAAUGACAGUUGUAGGGUUCUUUGGUAGGGAAAUCUGCUGUGUUGGUACAUGGAUGCUUCCAAGACAGUUAUAAAAUAAAACGAAGCAAACUGGAAUUCGGAAGGCUGGGAAGCAUCAGGGGUCUGCGAGAGUCUUCCAUUGCAAAAACCCGGGGCAGUGACGCUCUCAGCAGCACACAAACAGCAGUGCGGCACUGCCCUGCUGAGCUCCUGCGGCGCAGCUGGUGCUGCUGGGUCUCAGACCGCCCUCUGUGUGCUGCUCCAUCGCUGUGCUGCAGCGCCAGGGGCACGGAGUUGCUUUCUGUUUGCUGCUCCUGCACUGUAGUAGAACCCGCAGCCACGUGUGGAGGUGCAAACUGGGGGCUCAAAUCUGCGCAGGGAGGACCUGUGGAAUUCAGCUUACCAAAAUGCUUAUUGCUGUACACAGGCGUGCUUGUAAAACAUUUGGCUUCCUAAUUCUCUAAACUGUGACUGACAUUUGGAUCCACAGCAGUGUAAGUGUGCUGCGGUGACAGUGCUGUUCCAAAGGAGCCCGGGGUCGCGGUGGAGCAGUGUGGCAGUGCCCUUGGAGCUGCAUGGCGGCACCCCUGGGAGCUCCCAAUGGCUCUGGGAGCUGUGCUGUGCUGCCUCUUGGGCCGUGCCCUGAGUCACUGCCACGCGCACCGGCUGAAUUCGCCCCGUGCCUUCGUCAUUUUUGUGGUAGAAAGGAAGUAGAUAGUAAUCUGUGGCUAAAGUAAUGGAGAUAAUUGCACAGUUAUCAUCACCAGUGCCAGCAACACCUCUCCUGUGGGGUGUUUAGAGGACAACAUCAGUGCCACCUGCAGCAAGUGCACCGCUGGGCACCAACCGGUGUCUGCUCUUGCGCUGGGCAGAGACCCCCGAGUGGAGGUAUCCAACACUGUGUGGAGCUGCCCCGCAUGCUGGGGCUUGGAGGGCUCUGGACAGCACAGCGGGUGGCAGGGAACCAUGGCCAGGGGGGUCCUGGGAGAGCUCUGCUCAGCAUGGUCACAGCAGUGACAUCACUGUGCUGAGAUGUGGGGCACAGGGACUUCAGCGGAUAGGGGCGGUUCACAGGGAAAUAGCUCCUGAAUUGAGUCAUGGCCACGAGGACUGGAAGAAACCUGUACUUCGAGCUCACUUCUUUCAGUAAGCCUUCUUCCCACGCAGGUUUGGUGGCAUGCAGGCCCUGCACCUUCCCACUGCCGAGCACGCGGCCCCAGUGCUGCCUAUGUGUGGCCUUUGCCACCAUUCGGAUGGAGCUUUCUGGAGCAGGAGCUUUGCCUUCUGAGUUUUCACGCAGAGUGACAUGCACAUGCUUACAGUGGUAGAGAUGCUCUUUAUGCCCUGGUGCAGAGCAAAGAGACAUAAACACGGUGGCACACUGAAUUCUUUGUUCACUCUCAAUGCAAGCCCAGGGCAGGGGCUGGCAGCACGGAGCUGAGCUGCAGUGCCCGCCUUGGGCAGCUCUCCUCCAUUCAGUGCUGCGGCACUCCAUGUUCUGCCUGCCAGGAGACAUUUAUUCCUGCUGGUUUUAAAGCACGACGAGUCCAACAUUGACAUUCAGCCCUGCACAGGUGGAGCUGAGCUCCUCCGGGGCAAUGGAGGGGGGGGGGAUCUCGCUCUGCAGCUCCUUCACAAGCUCCUGGAAAUGGGAAAGCGCCCCGGGGCUGAAUGAAGCUCUUUGACGUCACGAGUGCCCAUUAAGGGUUUAU